AGACACAGUCCUGCUUAUUUUGCUCUGUAGCUUGGCCACAGUGGCUAUAGCAAUCCGCUGCUGAUGCGAGGUCGGGGAUUUGAUUCCCAGCCACAGUAGCUGCAUUUAAUGAUAAGUGCACUAGCAGAUCCAGAGGCUAUCCACCAGUUGUUAUCUAGCUCAGCUGUUGAUCAUUCAUCAUCCAGGAGGUUGUUUCCGGAAAGCCACUCUGUCUCCCUGUAAGCAGUAAAGUUGUCUGUUUUUGCCUAGCAGAUGCACCUACAAAGGCUUGUCAGCUAAUUCGUUCGCUGCUGUGGGGGGCAUGAUGGCUCCCCUUCUACACAGGGAGUUGCAUGUGGCCGUGUCUCGUGACCAAAGUGGGGAAUCUUCCCUUGCGUGUUGCAAGGAAGCGUUCGAGGGAAGCAUGUUAUGCUUUUCUUGCAGCAGGGGUGCGGAACUCUCCCUCAUGCAAAUCCCCCUUUGGAUGCAGGAGUUGUGCAUCUUGGAAAUAAGACUUUGUGAAGGUGGUGGAGUAGCUGAAUGUUGAGCACAAGGCUGUGUUGCUCGAUGGGUCAUGUGAUAUUGUUAGGUGUUGACUUGCAAAUAUUUCUAGACCAGUGGUCUCGAAAAUGUUAUCCCACGGCGCUCAUCGAAUCGCGGCCACGGCGACCGCAUUUCGAUGGGGGUGAAAUAUGCAAACACCCAUGUACUUAGAUUUAGGUGCACGUUAAAGAACCCCAGGUGGUCCAAAUUUCCGAAGUCCCCCACUAUGGCCUGCCUCAUAAUCAGAUCGUGGUUUUGGCACGUAAAACCCCAUAAUUUAAUCCCAUGGCGCUCAUGGACAGCGUGUGUGACCCUUUUGAGUGCUCGACCUCAAUAUACCCCAAGCUUAUAAUGUGAUAGUGUUGAGGGCCCCGUGUUGAAGAAAAUUCGGUGUGGGUGUUGGCAUCCCGUGAGUGAAAAAUGCCGACUAUAUUGUACGCGGCAUUGAAGUUCUUCUAUCACUAAGGUUGCUCAUACCUUGUCGUCUUACAUUCUUUACAAAGUUGUUUCUCGGAAUUUUUAGAAUGACAGCCCAUAAACAAGUGUCAUGAAACAAAACACUGACAGCGCAUGCCUUUUAUGUUAAAUCGUCUCAGUCUGAAAUAUGACAAGUGCGAAACAAUAACAGAAGAUCAGCUCACGCAAGAGGCCGCGUUUCUACCAGAAAGCUUGCCUUCAUACAUAGCGUUCGUCACCACCAUUUCCCGGUAAACAUUACGGUUACAUAAGCUGCAGUCGCCCGGAAGUGUGAGAAGCAGUCGGGAAUCUUUGAAUGCUGUCGCGUUACACUCUUAAAGGCGAAGCUGAAGCGCCCUCCAAAUCUUUUUGAAACUGCUGAACAUGAGGUGGCAGGUUGGAUUCUCUGUAGCUGUGGCAGUACUCUGACAAAAGUGGAAUGUAAAAAUACUCAUGUACAGUGCGCUAACUGCAUCUAAAAAAUUUUAGAUGGUCAAAAUUAUUCCACGACCUCCCACUGCGAUGUCUCUUACAGUCUGCGAGUUGCUUCAGGACAAAUACCACAAUUUAAUUCUUAAAGGGACCCUGAAUCAAUUUUGACGGUCGUGUACAAAUAUGGUGAGUCGGUACGGUAGGUCCUUCCGAUCAUUACGAGACAGAUGUAAGUGCUCUGUGUAAUGCGUGUCAUUUAUUAUUAGGUUUUUAAAAUGUGAAUUGCUACGAAUCACAGCGGCACCGGUCCUCUUCAUUUUCCACCGCCCCUUCCCCCGCUACAUAGCGUGGGUGAGUGAUGUCACUCGGGUGAGUGAUCGAUUGGCUGCCCACGUUACAUCAUUGGGAACACUUGAAACAUGCCGCUGAAUUAACUUUAUUUUUAACAACAUACGUAUGCACAGUAAUUUGUGUAUCCUUAUAAUAAGGACACCAAAUGCAAUAAAUCUAGAUGUUUCUUCAAACCAAUGGCCCACUUUCGCCUGAAAAUGCGGAUCGUCUGCCACAGCUCUGGCCAUGGCAGCCGAUGGGAUGCGGAGGGGUUCUCACAUAAAAAUAGGAGCACUGAUCUUCUUUGGUGGCAGGAACAUCAAUGCUACCAGCGCUGUAUUACGCUAGUCUUGCACUGCAGAUGAAAACGCUGCAUGUCAAUGUCAACACCAACCUCCUUGGUCAACACAGCGAUCACCUGCAGUUCUGAAAAGAAAAGUGCUUUUAGCAAUGGUUGUAUAUAAUUGUAAGAGCCAAGCUUGUAUAUAAUUUGCCCAGAAAGUCUUUGUGUUUCACUUCAUGUAGUCCUGGCUUAGCAAGAAAAACUGCGUAGGAAAGACAUGUGGGAACACACUUGGUUCAAAUCAACCGGAAGUAGACAAUAUCUGCAUCACCGCUUGAAGGAGGCGGGACAUUGUGAUGGCCGCAUGUUGUAAAAGUUUAGGGGGCUCACCACGGCUUGAGGGGAGGCUAAUGCUUAACCACUUGUACAUGUGUUAUUAUAGUGCACUGACACGAAAUUCUUGUGAGAAAGCAUUCCUUGAGAGAUACCCUCUGUCAGGGACCCUUUGAGCCUUUUGAAGGUAACGCACUCCCCAUGCGGCAGUGCAGUAUAUAGAACCCUAACCUUAACAGUCAUUUUCAUGUUACUUAGUAAUGUGAAGCAUGAGACCUUACUGGAGUCUCGAGCAUCCUGCUACUACAUUUGAGUUACACUAACGAAAAUAGUGCUGAACAGUCGUGUGCGAAUUGUUUUGUAAUGUUUGAUUACACCGGCUUGGUCAAUCACGUCACAUUUACAGUGAUAUCCCUAAAAGUGUAAUCAAUCAAGGAUACAACCCCGUGAGGUGCUGUGUGCCAUGUACAGUUGGAGGCGAAAGUUUCGAUAACGAUGGCUCCACAGAAACAUUUUUUUCUACGCAGCCUGUACGUGCCAGCUCAAAUCAAGUGGCACAACCUACAAGUGCAUGUUCGACAAUUGCUGUGUAUUGAAGCAAUUCCACUUUGCAAGAGCUAUGCUAUAAGAAAUUUGAAUCUUUCGCUGGCGCUGUGGUCUGCGAACUUUUGCUUGUUAUUGUGCACACUGCAUGACCUUAAAGCUACUCCAUAGUCUGCGAUUGGCUCUCGCCCUCAAUAAUGAAUAGAAGGUUGUACAGGUUUUGCUGUGUGAUUUCUCGCCUAAUGUGCAGUGGGCGUCAAAAGUCUGCAGUAUGCAGGUUCCACAGAAAUGGCAAAUUUAAGCCCAGUUUUUGCUUGCAGCUAGUAAAACUGCACAACACUAUAUUGGUCAUGUACACUAGCACGUAUAGGUAGCAUAUCUGAACUCCUGAUUGCUUGCCUGAGCUUGGCAGAUAUUCAGCUUUUUCUCAAGGUUACUGCCUCAUUAAAC
This is a long non-coding RNA of Dermacentor silvarum, 3349 nucleotides long. RefSeq lists it as uncharacterized. Lineage: Eukaryota; Metazoa; Arthropoda; Arachnida; Ixodida; Ixodidae. The transcript is spliced from 2 exons. The record is from RefSeq and is a predicted model, not a curated record.